Molecule: ribosomal RNA, 256 nt
Filed under: uncultured bacterium
Lineage: Bacteria
Description: partial 16S ribosomal RNA
Rfam family: Bacterial small subunit ribosomal RNA
Source: RNAcentral
UACGUAGGAGGGCAAGCGUUAUUCGGAAUUACUGGGCGUAAAGCGUGCGCAGGCGGUUUUGUAAGUCUGUCGUGAAAGCCCCGGGCUCAACCUGGGAAUGGCGAUGGAGACUGCAAGGCUAGAGUUUGGCAGAGGGGGGGUAGAAUUCCACGUGUAGCAGUGAAAUGCGUAGAUAUGUGGAGGAACACCGAUGGCGAAGGCAGCCCCCCUGGGUCAAAACUGACGCUCAUGCACGAAAGCGUGGGGAGCAAACAGG